AGCGAACGCUGGCGGCAGGCUUAACACAUGCAAGUCGAGCGGGCAUAGCAAUAUGCCAGCGGCAGACGGGUGAGUAACGCGUGGGAACGUACCUUUGGUUCGGAACAACACAGGGAAACUUGUGCUAAUACCGGAUAAGCCCUUACGGGGAAAGAUUUAUCGCCGAAAGAGCGGCCCGCGUCUGAUUAGCUAGUUGGUGAGGUAAUGGCUCACCAAGGCGACGAUCAGUAGCUGGUCUGAGAGGAUGAUCAGCCACAUUGGGACUGAGACACGGCCCAAACUCCUACGGGAGGCAGCAGUGGGGAAUAUUGGACAAUGGGCGCAAGCCUGAUCCAGCCAUGCCGCGUGAGUGAUGAAGGCCCUAGGGUUGUAAAGCUCUUUGUGCGGGAAGAUAAUGACGGUACCGCAAGAAUAAGCCCCGGCUAACUUCGUGCCAGCAGCCGCGGUAAU
Molecule: ribosomal RNA, 450 nt
Filed under: uncultured bacterium
Lineage: Bacteria
Description: bacterial SSU rRNA
Rfam family: Bacterial small subunit ribosomal RNA
Source: RNAcentral